CUCACUUUCUCGCCUCUCUUUCUUCUCUGCCGUUUCUUUCUUCUCUCAUUUCAUUGUGCUUCCACCAAACACAACACCAACGAUUUCGACUACGGCAUUCCCCAAUAGGUCUCCGAUGUUCAGAAGCUCCGGUCUCAAUACCAGCGGGAGCUUCUCCUUUCCCUCCAGAUCCAGUUAUGAUUAGAUCUGUUGUAAAGAUCCAAGACUGGGGCUCCAAGUUUAUGAAGGAGAUGGGGAACAAUCUGGGUUUUUCGAUAUGUGACUUUUUCUUACUAUCUGGGUUUUUGUUCUGGCAUUUGAUUCUUCCAACUCUAGUUGUCUUCAGGUUUUAACUUUCAAGUAAUAUUUUUGUUAAUUGCUAUUCAGGAAUGAUGCGGCUGGUGAUUGAAAAUUGUCAAAUCUGGGCCAUAGACCCAUAUCAAGGUGUUGAUGCCCAGCAGAGUAUAUCUACUCUGAGUUCAGACCGCACUGAGGCUUUUCUAAAACAAUCCAACUUGAAGUUAACCUUGCUACAGAUGAGUCGUCCAAGCUAAAACCCAAUGGACCUGGACUUCUUGAGGUUCUCAGUUCAUCAUCACCUUUGAAGCUAAUCAUAGUCUAUAUAGAAGUUGUGCCAGAGAUUACAAGCACCAGUUCGAACAGAAGAGGGAUCGACUUUUUUUUGUUUUUGUUUUUUGGGUCUUUUUAUUAUGUGGGUGGUUAUUGGUUUGCUCUUUUUUUGUUUUUAUUUGUUUUUUCUUAUAUAUCUAAGAGGCUCCAACGGCCUUAAUUCCUAA
This is a long non-coding RNA of Rosa rugosa (rugosa rose), 776 nucleotides long. RefSeq lists it as uncharacterized. The record is from RefSeq and is a predicted model, not a curated record. Lineage: Eukaryota; Viridiplantae; Streptophyta; Magnoliopsida; Rosales; Rosaceae. The transcript has 5 exons.